AGUGAACGCUGGCGGCAGGCCUAACACAUGCAAGUCGAAGGGCAGCACAAGAGAGCUUGCUCUCUGGGUGGCGAGUGGCGGACGGGUGAGGAAUGCAUCGGAAUCUGCCCAUUUGUGGGGGAUAACCUCGGGAAACCGGGACUAAUACCGCAUACGACCUACGGGUGAAAGCAGGGGAUCUUCGGACCUUGCGCAGAUGGAUGAGCCGAUGCCGGAUUAGCUAGUUGGAGGGGUAAAGGCCCACCAAGGCGACGAUCCGUAGCUGGUCUGAGAGGAUGAUCAGCCACACUGGGACUGAGACACGGCCCAGACUCCUACGGGAGGCAGCAGUGGGGAAUAUUGGACAAUGGGCGCAAGCCUGAUCCAGCCAUGCCGCGUGUGUGAAGAAGGCCUUCGGGUUGUAAAGCACUUUUGUUGGGAAAGAAAAGCAGCCGGUUAAUACCCGGUUGUCAUGACGGUACCCAAAGAAUAAGCACCGGCUAACUUCGUG
This 490-nucleotide ribosomal RNA is filed under the name uncultured bacterium. RNAcentral describes it as "partial 16S ribosomal RNA". It matches the Rfam family "Bacterial small subunit ribosomal RNA", at positions 29 to 507 of the family's 1533-position model. The record is from RNAcentral.